This 774-nucleotide ribosomal RNA is filed under the name uncultured Neocallimastigales. RNAcentral's name for it is "partial large subunit ribosomal RNA". It matches the Rfam family "Eukaryotic large subunit ribosomal RNA", at positions 23 to 644 of the family's 3401-position model. Lineage: Eukaryota; Fungi; Neocallimastigomycota; Neocallimastigomycetes; Neocallimastigales. The record is from RNAcentral.
AUAGAGACUCAGAGCUGCAUAUCAAUAAGCGGAGGAAAAGAAACUAACUAGGAUUCCCUCAGUAACGGCGAGUGAAGCGGGAAGAGCUCAAAUUUGAAAUCUUCAAGGUUCUACCUUGACGAAUUGUAGUUUAAAGAAGUGUUUUCUGUUGGAGUUUUGGUAAAAGUUCUUUGGAAUAGGACAUCAUAGAGGGUGAGAAUCCCGUAUUUGACCAUUAUUUCCAGCUUUGUGAUACACUUUCAAAGAGUCGGAUUGUUUGGGAAUGCAGUCCAAAAUGGGUGGUAAAUUUCAUCUAAAGCUAAAUAUUGGCGAGAGACCGAUAGCGAACAAGUACCGUGAGGGAAAGAUGAAAAGAACUUUGAAAAGAGAGUUAAACAGUACGUGAAAUUGCCAAAAGGGAAGCGUUUGACACCAGUGUUGUUUUUCCGAAAAUCAAUUACGAAUGGCUUGAUUCUGUGUUGUAUUGACCUUAUCAGCUUUCUUCACUUUUUUCGAGUCUUUCUUAAUGCACUUUUCGGUUAACAAGUCAACAUCAAUUUCUUUUGUUGUAAAAGAGUAUUCGGAAGGUGGCUUUCUUUUCGGAGAAAGUGUUUAUAGCCCUAUACUUCUACAAUCGGAGAGAUUGAGGUCUGCAGCGUAGAUCCUUCGGGGUUAGAUACACUUGUGCUAAGUUGUAGCUUUUCAUAGACAACUUGUUGACUAUGUUUAGUCAUUGGGACUUACUCGCUUAUGCUAUUUUACCUACGCUUAGGAUGUUGAAGUCAUCGUAUCGCG